ACUCAAAGGAAUUGACGGGGGCCCGCACAAGCAGUGGAGUAUGUGGUUUAAUUCGAAGCAACGCGAAGAACCUUACCAGGACUUGACAUGGGGACGACAGGCGUAGAGAUACGCCCUCCUUCGGGCGUCCCACACAGGUGGUGCAUGGUUGUCGUCAGCUCGUGUCGUGAGAUGUUGGGUUAAGUCCCGCAACGAGCGCAACCCUUACCGAUAGUUGCUACGCAAGAGCACUCUAUCGGGACUGCCGCGGAUAACGCGGAGGAAGGCGGGGACGACGUCAAAUCAUCAUGCCCCUUACGUUCUGGGCUACACACGUACUACAAUGGCGGUCAACAGAGGGAAGCGAAGGCGCGAGCCGGAGCAAAUCCCCAAAAGCCGCCCCAGUUCAGAUUGCAGGCUGCAACCCGCCUGUAUGAAGACGGAAUUGCUAGUAAUCGCAGGUCAGCAUACUGCGGUGAAUACGUUCCCGGGCCUUGUACACACCGCCCGU
RNAcentral lists this ribosomal RNA (490 nucleotides) under uncultured bacterium. Its description in RNAcentral is "bacterial SSU rRNA". It matches the Rfam family "Bacterial small subunit ribosomal RNA", at positions 899 to 1397 of the family's 1533-position model. The record is from RNAcentral.